RNAcentral lists this non-coding RNA (28 nucleotides) under Homo sapiens (human). Lineage: Eukaryota; Metazoa; Chordata; Mammalia; Primates; Hominidae. The record is from RNAcentral.
UCCUGGAGCUGUGUCCUUGAUGCCUUAA